Molecule: long non-coding RNA, 5787 nt
Filed under: Hordeum vulgare
Lineage: Eukaryota; Viridiplantae; Streptophyta; Magnoliopsida; Poales; Poaceae
Description: long non-coding RNA (HVUL_LNC003823)
Source: RNAcentral
UUUUUUCUUAUUCUAGCAGACGGAAUUGAAUUGGUCUAAUUUAGGACUUUCUAAUCGAUUUUUAUCUUACCUAAUUCUAUCUACGCCCAGGGGGUAGGUACGUCGCAAGCUCUGGGCAGCUAUCUUAUUCAAAAGAAUAUCGCUCCCUAAAAGGUUGCCGAUACCAUACCUCUAUUGAACCCUACUGGAUCCAAUUGUUUAAGUGUUUAGUCGAGAGGAACCACAUUGACACCAUGCUUGUGCUAAGCCACAGCUCCAUCAAACUAAUCUGGAUUUCUUCUUGUUUACGAAUAAUGGGGCAUCUGCCUAACCCUAUCAAACCUCUCUGCAACUACUUCUCUCUGUUCUCAGCAGCCCGAAGGAUUUUUCUAGUCUCAAAGUCCUAUUAGAACUCCCGCGCUUGCUCCUUUGGAGCCAAAUGGAUCCGAAUUUCGGUGGCUGGGGUAGACUCUCAGCAGCUUGGUUUACGCAUGGCACGAAAAUCUAUCUGUAAUAAUUAUUUGAAAAAAGUCAAAAAUAGCCUAUUGGGGUUCAGUUGGCGAGAAAAGCCUUCUUCCUACAUCUGCGAGUAAGGGGCAACCUUUUUGAUUAAUUCACAGGUAAGGCAAAGUGCUUUCUUUUAAAGAAGCAUCUGGUUCCAUCUUUCUUUCGUUAGUUAAGCCACCUUUUUCUAAGAAGGAUUUUUGUAAUUCUGGAUUAAUAGUACUUAGAAUGGCUUUUUCAUAUUGAGAAAUUCUGUCUAGUGGCAUUCGACGUCUGGCUUGAUAGUAAAGCCAAAGAAAGACGCCCCAAGACAAGAUACAACUGUUGGGAAGGGGACAUGAUCAAUAGAACCUGGCUGGAUCCGGGCUGGGAUAGUGGCCGAACGACCUUCAACCACUCCUGCCUGCCUGCCGGAACUAUUAAGCUGAUAGGAAUGAGAAACAAGCUGAGCUGAAACAUUACGGGCAGCUACAUCUAGGCUUAUAGUAAGCGAUUCAAACUCUCUCUUUAGUGGACACACACGACAUGAUAAAUGUGAUGGAAGGCUGGAGACAUCGCUCCAUCGGGCAUUAGACAGAAGCCAGUGGUAUCCAGAGUGUGCUACCCCGGCUGGACCAAAAAGGGAUUAAUACUACUUCAAAGUCGAAAAUCCGGUAACCGUGACCGCUACGGUGAGCAAAUGCAUCAUCAGUGCUGUAUUUAAAUUGUGUGCUAUCCUUGAAAAGGGCUUCACAUUUGGAUGGAAUUGCAACAUGCAGGCGGCUGCUCUUGCUUAAAUCAUUACUCUUCAUUCUCCCGUGCUCUAGCAAUUGCGCUCCCUAGACCACUACCAUUUAGUUAGGUAGGGACAAUCAAUCCAUAGUUACGGGAAUAACGGAAUACAUGGGGAUAAAAAAAAAAGAAAAUGCAGAUUUUCUAUGAAAUCCUUUCUUUCCAUAGAUGUAUCUGGUCUGAGACGGUACAGUACUCUACGAGAGGAAUGCAAUGGGAUGGAUGGUAGAGGGCUGCCUGCGCCCAAAAGCGAUGAUUCACUUGUCCCCUUGUCUAUAGGGACCUUGUGGCAUACAACCGCCACGACUCCUGCGUUAUAGCCGCCCCUUUCUCUCUUUAUUUUGACUGCCUCGUGGACGGACGAAAGAAGGGAAGUUACAGAAGGGGGCAGUGAGGGCUCCAUCCAUAACAGAUAUAGCUAGCGCACAGGAUCUCCCUUCUGCGAACAAAAGGACAAAAGAGCCGGGUCGGGCGUUGAUUCGCCGUUGCUAUCAGUCGGUCUACUCGUGCCUGCUGCUUACUUUCUCGAUCGAUGGAAUCGGUGAUUCAAAAACCUAAAGAUCCUUUCUUCAAACUCAACCGAAUCAAGUUUCAAAAAUAGAUGUGGAAGAGGCAAAGGGAAGAGCGGGGUUGCCGAAUUGUUUCUCAGAGCCGGACGAAACAUCUAUCUCUAUUUACAAUACGAACACGGAGUUUCCGAAGCUACAAGAGUGCUUGGUUAAACGGUGCCAUUAAGUUUCAACUGUCUUUAAACUUACUACUUCAAGUGCAAUUAUCAACUCCUUGCAAAAUUGUUGGCUUUCUCAUCUACAAAAGGCAACUCUGGUAUUCAAGGAAACAGAUAAUUAGGUUCCACUCACUACGUCAACUAAAGCAACUGCAUCUGGAGCACUUACCAGGGAAACCAAGCAUUUCUCCCAUUGCAAGAAUCAUAGAUCUAGUUGGCCAAACAAAACCCAAGACUCGGAGAGACUUACAAGGAUAUCAAAUCAUGCAUAAAAGAAAUCAGCAAGGACUCAAAUAUAUAUCAUAGAUAAUCUGAUCACAAGUCCACAAUUCAUCGGAUCUCGACAAACACACCGCCAAAGAAGCUUACAUCGGAUAGAUCUCCAUGAAGAUCAUGGAGAACUUUGUAUUGAAUAUCCAAGAGAGAGAAGAAGCCAUCUAGCUACUAACUACGGACCCGUAGGUCUGAAGUGAACUACUCACGAGUCAUUGGAGGGGCGAUGAUGAUGAUGAAGAAGCCCUUCACCUCCAAAGUCCCCUCCGACAGGGUGCCGGAAAGGGUCUCCAGAUGAGAUCUCGCGGAAACGGAAGCUUGCGGUGGCGGAAAAGUAUUUUCGAGGCUCCCCUGAUUUUUUGCGGAAUAUUUGGGAAUAUAUAGGCGCAAGACCUAGGUCAGGGGGCGGCCAAGGAGGCCACAAGCCUGCCCACCGCCACCUCCCCCCUGGUGGCGGAGUGGGGGCUUGGGGGCUCUAUGGAGCCCACCUGGUUUGGCCCAAAAGCCCCUUGGACUUCUUCCGUUCGGGAAAAUAUCAUUUUGGGGUUUUUCUUCCGUUUGGACUCCGUUCCAAAAUCAGAUCUGAAAAGAGUCAAAAACAUGGAAAAAUAGGAACUGGCACUUGGCACUUAAUCAAUAAGUUAGUCCUAAAAAAGAUAUAAAAAGGUACAUAAAACAUACAAAGAAGACAAGAUAACAGCGUGAAACCAUCAAAAAUUAUAGGUACGUUUGAGACGUAUCAAGCAUCCCCAAGCUUAACUCCUGCUCGUCCUCGAGUAGGGAAGUGAUAAGAAUGAAUUUUUGAUGCUUUCAUGCUACCUAGCAUAGGUGUCCUUUGUAAUUUCUCUUAUGUGACGUGAAUGUUCAGAUCCAUUAGAUUCAAAACAAUAGUUUUCUAUUGACGUGGAAACAACAAUAAUUCAAGCAAACUAGCAAUGUAAUCCUGAACUUUCAAAAUAACAAGGCCAAAAGAAAGUUAUCCCUACAAAAUCAUAUAGUCUGGCCAUGCUCUAUCAUCAUUGCACAACGGAUUUAAAUCAUGCAGAACCCCGGUGUUGGCCAAGUAAUUGUUUCACACCUUUACUUUCUCAAACAUUUUCAACUCUCACGCAAUACAUGAGCGCGGGCCAUGGUUAUAGAACUAUAGAUGGUGUGGAAUGUGGUGGGGGUUGCAAGACAAAAAGGAGAAGAUAGUCACAUUAACUAGGCAUAUCAAUGAGCUGUGGAGAUGCUCAUCAAUAUAUAUCAAUGUGAAUGAGUAGGGAUUGCCAUACAAAUGAUGCACUAGAGCUACAAGUAUGUGAAAGCUCUUAAAGAAAAGUAGUGGGUGUGCAUCCAACUUGCUUGCUCACGAAAACCUAAGGCAAUUUUGAGGAAGCCUAUCAUUGCAAUAUACAAGCCAAGUUAUAUAAUGAGAAUUUCCCACUAGCUAUAUGGUGGUGACAAAACGAGAGACUCUCAAUCAUGAAGAUCGUGGUGCUCAAGAUGCACAAGUGUGGAAAAAGUGGUAGCAUUGUCCCUUCUCUCUUUUUCUCUCAUUUUUUUAUUUUGGUGGGCUCUUUGGCCUCUUUUUUAUGGGCUUCUUUGGCCUCUUUUUUUCCUCACAUGGGAAAAUGCUCCAAUAAUGAUGAUCAUCACACUUUCAACUCAAAACUUAGAUCAAUUAUGACUCUAUAUGGAAUGCCUUCGGUAGUGUACCAUGGCAAUGAUCUAGCAUGGCAUAGACAUCAAUGGAAAUAUCAUGCUAGCUAUCUUACGAUCGUGCAAAGGUAAUGUAGACGUGGUGGCACAUAUUAUGGUGGUAGUUGCAUGGCAAAAUAUCUCGGAAUGACUUUGAAAAAGCCAUAGUAGGUAGGUAUGGUGGCUGUUUUGAGGGAGGCUAAUGGUGGGUUUUGUGCACCGGCACAAGUUGCGCGGCACUAAGAAGAUAGUGAUGAUGGAGGUGAAAGUGCAUCUAAACCAUGGACUCAACAUUAGUCACAAAGAACUCAUAUACUUGUUGCAAAAGUUUUAUUAGUAAUCGAAACAAAGCAUUCAACGCAUACUCCUAGGGGAAGGGUUGGUAGGUAUAAACCAUCGCGCGAUCCCGACCGCCACGCAAAGGAUGGCAAUCAAUAUACUAAUCAUGCUCAGAUUUCAUCAAAUAGCGGUUUACCAUACGUGCAUGCUACGGGAAUCACUAACUUCAACAAAAGUAUUUCUAGAUCCACAACAGCUUACUAGCAUAACUUUAAUAUUACCAUAACCAAAACUCAAAACAUAUUGAGAUGAAUCAAACUUCUCUAACUAUUCAAUGCACAUGAAGGUGGAAGUUUUCGUAUCCCUUUGGAUAACUACCCCUUUUGAGACUACUUUCAAAGCAUAGAUCAACUACCAAGCCAUGCACCGCUGCACUCUAAAAGAUAUAAGUGAAGCACAUAGAGCAAAAGUAUCUAGCUCAAAAGAUAUAAGUGAAGCACAUGUGAGCUGAAUUGUCUACCAAAAGAUAUAAGUGAAGCUCGACAAAAUCACGGUGAGUGCAUGUCUCUCUCUCUAGGUGUGCAGCAAGGAUGAUUGUGACACAAAAAAAAAUAAAAUACUCCUACGAUAUAGGAUGCUCCAAGCAAAAACGCAUAACAUGUGGUGAAUAAAAAUAUAGCCCCAAGUAACGUUACCGAUGGAUUGAAGACGAGAGAGGGGAUGCCUUCCCGGGGCAUCCCCAAGCUUAGGAUUUUACGGCAUCCUUGAAUCUCUUGGGGUGCCUUGGGCAUCCCCAAGCUUGAGCUCUUGCCACUCUUUAUCUUUUUGUCCACAAGAACUUCACCCAAAACUUGAAAACGUCACAACACGAAACUUAAACAGAAACUCGUGACAACAUUAGUACAAGAAAGAAAACCACCACUUCCUUAGGUACUAUAGGAAACUCAAAUUCUACUUGUGCUGAUGUUGGGUUACUGUACUUUCAAUCUUCCAUGGCUAAUACCCCUGAUACUAUCCAUAGUUUCAUCAAAAUAAGCAACCAACACAACAAAAACAGAAUCUGUUAAUAGCAGACCAGUCUGUAGCAAUCUGUAUGUUUCGCAUAACUCUGGUACUUCAAAAAUUCUGAAAAAUUAUGACAGUCUGAAGAAUUUGUGUAGCAAUCUGCAGCAAAAAGAAUCAACUCAAAAUCUCUUAUAGAAAAAAAUAAAAAUUCUUUUCCGGAGCAGAAAGUUUCUGUCUUUCCCAGCAUGACCAAACGAUCAUCCUCAAGACUAAUCAUAACNNNNNNNNNNNNNNNNNNNNNNNNNNNNNNNNNNNNNNNNNNNNNNNNNNNNNNNNNNNNNNNNNNNNNNNNNNNNNNNNNNNNNNNNNNNNNNNNNNNNNNNNNNNNNNNNNNNNNNNNNNNNNNNNNNNNNNNNNNNNNNNNNNNNNNNNNNNNNNNNNNNNNNNNNNNNNNNNNNNNNNNNNNNNNNNNNNNNNNNNNAAAAGGCAACUCUGGUAUUCAAGGAAACAGAUAAUUAGGUUCCACUCACUACGUCAACUAAAGCAACUGCAUCUGGAGCACUUACCAG